UUUAUUUUUUUGUAGAGAUGGGGUUGUCCAGGCUGGUCUCAAACUCCUGAGCUCAAGCAAUGUGCCCGCCUUGGCUUCCCAAAGUGCUGGGAUUAUAGGCGUAAACCACUGCACGCAGCCUACCCUCUGCCUUUUUAAGAUGAUGUAUUUAUUUAAUUUUUGCCAUCAUUGGUGCUUCACCUUCCUGCGAAGGAAAUUCCAGAGCCUGUAUUUAAGCUACCUAGGCUUUUACACUCCCUUUAUUGCCUUUCCAAAUAGUAUCUCAUUUGGUGUACUCUAGUGUCCUAUACCUCUUGGAAACGAAAGAGGGCCCAACCUACAACUAAGAAGGGACAAACCUUGAACUAAGUAAGACCUUACACACCCAGAAAGAACACUGGGCCCUCCUUCUUCAGGGACAAUGCAGUAGCCACUUGGCUUGUGGAAUUUACUGAAGGCUAUUUCCUGUAACUUGCUAGUUAACUUAGUUUUGUAUUUCAGGCAGAGGUGCGCUCUGUAAUGUUGGGCCUUUGACUUCACAGUACUGGAGAGCUGUUCACACAGAUGUUUAGACCUUUCUCUCUCUCUCUCUUUUCUUCUUUCUCAACAACUCUUUCACAGAGGCAGUCAUUUUGAAAGGUUGAAAUAUUUGGCCUUUACCAAAGAGCUUUUUUUUUCCUUAAGCAAAAUCCUUUCAGAAAGAAACAAAUGGGGAAGGGCAGAUUAAGAAUGCAUAUGUCCCAAUCCACUUCUAUAGGAGUUUAAUCAUAUUCACAUGAGUAAAAUGAUGGAAGAACUCUUUAAGGUAAUCCUUUGGGAUAAAGGAUCCUGGGAAGUUCUCUCAGGUAAAGAAAGCUUACAGCAGAUUUGUAAUAUAUGUCUGGAGAGCUAUUUAUAAGAAAUUUAAGAGGAUUGUUUUGUUUUCCUUUAUUAAAGAUUUAAGCCUUUUUACUUUGCAAAAAGAAAACUACAAAAGUUUUAUAGAUAUAACUUUGCUAAUUUUUUAAACUUUUCUGAAACGAUUAGCUGUAGCCAAAUUAUGUGGUUACGUUUUGCUACAUUAGAAUUUGAAAAUGCAAUAUGUGUGGUAAAUCUACUGUUUGAAAUUUAUAAUGGUCUCUGAUAUGAUUCGAAUUUUGGUAACUUUUGAAAGUUAUUUUCCCCCUUUAGUCAUGGAUUUCUAUUUGUUUUUUAAUGUUAAUUUUUCUAGAAAGCAUCUGAAUUGACUAGGCUUUUCCUAUAUAAAAAACUCAAAACUUGUUAACUCUGUACUUUAAUAAAAUUUAAAAUUAAAACUGUGUUGUUUUUU
RNAcentral lists this long non-coding RNA (1288 nucleotides) under Homo sapiens (human). Its description in RNAcentral is "non-protein coding lnc-MTX3-4:1". Lineage: Eukaryota; Metazoa; Chordata; Mammalia; Primates; Hominidae. The record is from RNAcentral.